UAUGGUUCAUUCAGCCAGCUGGAUUUAACUGCUUCGAACCGCGUGGCGUGGCUUCAGGAAACUGCUCUGCAGUCAUGCCCUGUGUUUAAAGAGGUCUGCUGGUGCUUGGCCUGGAGCCCUGUUCCACGAAAUACCACAGAUCUGGCUUCUGAGGAGAGGAGACGUGAGCUUCUGAGCUCCAGGUUGCUGCUGUUUCGCUCUCAGGAUGACGUGUUCCUGCGUGUGCUCGAUGGCACUCGGUUCCCAUCAUAGCAUGGUGCAGGACUUCGUGAGAUCAAGGAGGGUUUGCUGUAUGAUGGAGUCUGUGCUGGCUUUGUCCUCCCUGAAGUUCACAAAGAUUUGGUUUACUGAGGUGGCCUCUGGUCUAAUGUUAGCAUGAGGAAACAGGAAGGGGGUUGUAGCUUGUGCUAGACACUACAAAGCAAAAAUGUGCUCAGGGAGCAUGGGAAGCCUUCCUCCCAACAAGGACUAGCUGGAGAACUUGCUCUGACGAAGCUAAACCUCCAUCAAAAUCGCUCUGGUGAUAAUUCCCAUUUCAGGUGACAUAAUCUGAAGGAGGCUUCUCCCUUCAAGAACGAGCAAAUGCUGGUGUGAUUUAAUGGGAUGCAUUUUAGCUUGUUUCCUGACUUUUCAUCAGUCAAAACUGGGCAUACUUGUUUGAGAACCGAAAGGUGUUGUGUCACUGAGUGUCAUGGCAUUAGAGAUACCCUGGCCGAGAUCUGUUGUGCUGUCCUUGGGAUGAAAUUUAUAAAAUGUCAGCAGCUAUAACAUUUACUUCCGUAAGUACACCCUCUAUGCUGGAAAGACGAGCGUAUUAUGAGACGUAGCUGCCUACAGACUUCUGGUGCAUACGGCGGAGAAAAGGUUUAAUCUGGUCAAGACCUCUCCAGACCCCUUCACUGUCGCUUAGGAGGUGAAGAAACAAGUGGCUGCAGCUCGCAUGUGAAAGCUGCUUUGUGUCUUGCCAGCCUCUUGGCAACACUUCAGAGCUAGAGCUAUUUUGAGUAAUGGAGCUUGGAAGUGGAAAAAGGCUUUGUGGCAAACCUAGCAUAUGCAUUUCUGAGAAACACAUUCAGUUCCUAUAUGGUUAUUUUUGUGUAAUUUGACAGGAAAAUUCGAACAUCGAGGAGAGCAUGUUCAGGUGAGUCAGAUUACAGCUCGCACGUGUAUUUGCACCCAGAAGUUACCCAAUUGCAUGAGUAACUGAGUGCAGAAAUGUUUUCUGGUUUCUGCUUACAACAGCUUAGGUAUAAAAUCUGUGCUAUUUAUGAGUUUAUAUGGAGAAGAGAAAUGUUUGUUAGCUACUGGAUCAUUGAAAAUGUUACACCUGCCAGAAGGCAGAAGAUUCCUUGAGAAUCCAGUGCUGAUUAGCACUGAUGAAAUACAGGAAAUACAGGGAAAUACAUCUUUCAAAAACUGA
Anas platyrhynchos (mallard) is the source of this 1420-nucleotide non-coding RNA. The record is from RefSeq and is a predicted model, not a curated record. Lineage: Eukaryota; Metazoa; Chordata; Aves; Anseriformes; Anatidae.